GACGAACGCUGGCGGCGUGCCUAAUACAUGCAAGUAGAACGCUGAAGGAGGAGCUUGCUUCUCUGGAUGAGUUGCGAACGGGUGAGUAACGCGUAGGUAACCUGCCUGGUAGCGGGGGAUAACUAUUGGAAACGAUAGCUAAUACCGCAUAAUAGCAGUUGUUGCAUGACAACUGUUUGAAAGGUGCAAUUGCACCACUACCAGAUGGACCUGCGUUGUAUUAGCUAGUUGGUGGGGUAACGGCUCACCAAGGCGACGAUACAUAGCCGACCUGAGAGGUGAUCGGCCACACUGGUACUGAGACACGGCCCAGACUCCUACGGGAGGCAGCAGUAGGGAAUCUUCGGCAAUGGACGGAAGUCUGACCGAGCAACGCCGCGUGAGUGAAGAAGGUUUUCGGAUCGUAAAGCUCUGUUGUAAGAGAAGAACGAGUGUGAGAGUGGAAAGUUCACACUGUGACGGUAUCUUACCAGAAAGGGACGGCUAACUACGUG
RNAcentral lists this ribosomal RNA (494 nucleotides) under uncultured bacterium. Its description in RNAcentral is "partial 16S ribosomal RNA". It matches the Rfam family "Bacterial small subunit ribosomal RNA", at positions 28 to 507 of the family's 1533-position model. The record is from RNAcentral.